GAUGAACGCUAGCGACAGGCCUAACACAUGCAAGUCGAGGGGCAGCACAUGAGUAGCAAUACGAUGGUGGCGACCGGCGCACGGGUGAGUAACACGUGAGUAACCUGCCCCAGACUCUGGGAUAACAGUUGGAAACAGCUGCUAAUACCGGAUACGAGACGGAGAGGCAUCUCUACCGUCUGGAAAGUUUUUCGGUCUGGGAUGGACUCGCGGCCUAUCAGCUUGUUGGUGAGGUAAUGGCUCACCAAGGCGACGACGGGUAGCCGGCCUGAGAGGGCGACCGGCCACACUGGGACUGAGACACGGCCCAGACUCCUACGGGAGGCAGCAGUGGGGAAUAUUGCACAAUGGGCGAAAGCCUGAUGCAGCGACGCCGCGUGAGGGAUGACGGCCUCGGGUGUAAGGUUACGUUUUAUUAUUGUGAGCAGUGGUCUUCUUAUUAUUAACUAGUAGUUAGGGGAGGUAGGAAGGAGUUAAUUAGUACAGUAUAGUAAU
This 495-nucleotide ribosomal RNA is filed under the name uncultured bacterium. Its description in RNAcentral is "bacterial SSU rRNA". It matches the Rfam family "Bacterial small subunit ribosomal RNA", at positions 28 to 490 of the family's 1533-position model. The record is from RNAcentral.